RNAcentral lists this ribosomal RNA (500 nucleotides) under uncultured bacterium. Its description in RNAcentral is "partial 16S ribosomal RNA". It matches the Rfam family "Bacterial small subunit ribosomal RNA", at positions 30 to 523 of the family's 1533-position model. The record is from RNAcentral.
AUUGGACGCUGGCGGCAUGCUUUACACAUGCAAGUCGAACGGUAACAGGGAGCUUGCUCCGCUGACGAGUGGCGAACGGGUGAGUAAUGUAUCGGAACGUACCCAAGAGUGGGGGAUAACGUGGCGAAAGUUACGCUAAUACCGCAUACGAUCUAUGGAUGCAAGUGGGGGACCUUCGGGCCUCAUGCUCCUGGACCGGCCGAUAUCUGAUUAGCUAGUUAGUGAGGUAAAGGCUCACCAAGGCGACGAUCAGUAGCUGGUCUGAGAGGACGACCAGCCACACUGGGACUGAGACACGGCCCAGACUCCUACGGGAGGCAGCAGUGGGGAAUUUUGGACAAUGGGGGCAACCCUGAUCCAGCAAUGCCGCGUGAGUGAAGAAGGCCUUCGGGUUGUAAAGCUCUUUUGUCAGGGAAGAAACGGUGCGGGCUAAUAUCCCGUGCUAAUGACGGUACCUGAAGAAUAAGCACCGGCUAACCACGUGCCAGCCGCCGCCGUAA